GAUAACCUCCGGAAACUGGGUAUAAUACCCGAUAGGUCUCGAUUGCUGGAAUGCAUCGAGAUUUAAAGCUCCGGCGCCUAAGGAUGGGUCUGCGGCCUAUCAGGUAGUAGUGGGUGUAGCGUACCUACUAGCCUACGACGGGUACGGGUUGUGAGAGCAAGAGCCCGGAGAUGGAUUCUGAGACACGAAUCCAGGCCCUACGGGGUGCAGCAGGCGCGAAAACUUUACAAUGCUGGCAACAGCGAUAAGGGAACCUCGAGUGCCAGGUUACAAAUCUGGCUGUCGAGAUGCCUAAAAAGCAUUUCAUAGCAAGGGCCGAGCAAGACCGGUGCCAGCCGCCGCGGUAACACCGGCGGCUCGAGUGGUAACCGUUAUUAUUGGGUCUAAAGGGUCUGUAGCCGGCCGGAUAAGUCUCUUGAGAAAUCUGGCAGCUUAACUGUCAGGCUUUCAGGAGAUACUGUCUGGCUCGAGGCCGGGAGAGGUGAGAGGUACUUCAGGGGUAGGGGUGAAAUCUUGUAAUCCUUGAAGGACCACCAGUGGCGAAGGCGUCUCACCAGAACGGACCUGACGGCAAGGGACGAAAGCUAGGGGCACGAACCGGAUUAGGUACCCGGGUAGUCCUAGCCGUAAACGAUACUCGCUAGGUGUCGGCCACGGUGCGACCGUUGUCGGUGCCGUACGGAAGCCGUGAAGCGAGCCACCUGGGAAGUACGGCCGCAAGGCUGAAACUUAAAGGAAUUGGCGGGGGAGCACCACAACGGGUGGAGCUUGCGGUUUAAUUGGAUUCAACGCCGGAAAUCUUACCGGGACCGACAGCAAUAUGAAGCCAGGCUGAAGACUUUGCCGGAUUAGCUGAGAGGUGGUGCAU
This 868-nucleotide ribosomal RNA is filed under the name uncultured archaeon. RNAcentral describes it as "bacterial SSU rRNA". It matches the Rfam family "Archaeal small subunit ribosomal RNA", at positions 125 to 995 of the family's 1478-position model. The record is from RNAcentral.